CGGAAGGAUCAUUAAUUAUAUAAGGCCACAGGGCAAGCUUUCCGAAAGGAUCGAGCUUGCUGUGUGAACCCUACCUACCCUUGCUUUUUGCGUACCCAUUGUUUCCUCGGCAGGCUUGCCUGCCAGUAGGACCCUCUUAAACCCUUUGUAAUUGCAGUCAGCGUCAGAAACAACGUAAUCGUUACAACUUUCAACAACGGAUCUCUUGGUUCUGGCAUCGAUGAAGAACGCAGCGAAAUGCGAUAAGUAGUGUGAAUUGCAGAAUUCAGUGAAUCAUCGAAUCUUUGAACGCACAUUGCGCCCCUUGGUAUUCCAUGGGGCAUGCCUGUUCGAGCGUCAUUUGUACCCUCCAGCCCUGCUGGGUGUUGGGCGUUUGUUCCGCUGCGCGCGUGAACUCGCCUCAAAUGCAUUGGCAGCCCGCCGUCCCGUGUGGGAGCGCAGCACAUUUUGCGCUCUCCACUGCAGACGGUGGCAUCCACAAGUCUACAUUUUUACGCUUGACCUCGGAUCAGGUAGGGAUACCCCGCUGAACUUAAGCAUAUCAAUAAGCGGAGGAAAAGAAACCAACAGGGAUUGCUCUUAGUAACGGCGAGUGAAGCGGCAACAGCUUCAAAUUUGAAAUCUGGCGCCUUCAGCGUCCGAGUUGUAAUUUGCAGAGGGCGCUUUUGGCGUUGGCAGCGGUCCAAGUUUCUUUGGAACAGUUCGUCACAGAGGGUGAGAAUCCCGUACGUGGGCGCCUG
This 740-nucleotide ribosomal RNA is filed under the name uncultured fungus. RNAcentral's name for it is "eukaryotic LSU rRNA". The stretch from base 186 to 339 matches the Rfam family "5.8S ribosomal RNA". The record is from RNAcentral. Lineage: Eukaryota; Fungi.